CCUACGGGGCGCACCAGUGGGGAAUUUUCCGCAAUGGGCGAAAGCCUGAUCCAGCAAUGCCGCGUGUGUGAAGAAGGCCUUCGGGUUGUAAAGCACUUUUAUCAGGAACGAAAUACCACGGGUUAAUACCCUAUGGGGCUGACGGUACCUGAGGAAUAAGCACCGGCUAACUUCGUGCCAGCAGCCGCGGAUAUACGAAGGGUGCAAGCGUUAAUCGGAAUUACUGGGCGUAAAGCGUGCGUAGGCGGUUUGUUAAGUCUGCUGUGAAAGCCCUGGGCUCAACCUGGGAAUGGCAGUGGAAACUGGCGAGCUAGAGUGUGAUAGAGGAUGGUGGAAUUCCCGGUGUAGCGGUGAAAUGCGUAGAGAUCGGGAGGAACAUCAGUGGCGAAGGCGGCCAUCUGGAACGACACUGACGCUGAGGCACGAAAGCGUGGGGAGCAAACAGGAUUAGAUACCCGGGUAGUC
Molecule: ribosomal RNA, 465 nt
Filed under: uncultured bacterium
Lineage: Bacteria
Description: bacterial SSU rRNA
Rfam family: Bacterial small subunit ribosomal RNA
Source: RNAcentral